RNAcentral lists this ribosomal RNA (43 nucleotides) under Leptospira weilii. RNAcentral's name for it is "partial 23S rRNA". Lineage: Bacteria; Pseudomonadati; Spirochaetota; Leptospiria; Leptospirales; Leptospiraceae. The record is from RNAcentral.
GAGUGGUAGGAGAGCGUUCUUUCUUCCGUCGAAGGGGUACCGU